Molecule: ribosomal RNA, 353 nt
Filed under: Lophodermium illiciicola
Lineage: Eukaryota; Fungi; Ascomycota; Leotiomycetes; Rhytismatales; Rhytismataceae
Description: partial 18S ribosomal RNA
Rfam family: Group I catalytic intron (bases 77-311)
About the family: Group I catalytic introns are large self-splicing ribozymes. They catalyse their own excision from mRNA, tRNA and rRNA precursors in a wide range of organisms. The core secondary structure consists of 9 paired regions (P1-P9).
Source: RNAcentral
AACAAGGUUUUGCUCAGUAGUGAAUAUGAUCUUUUCUAUCACUUACGGAAGCCUUUGCGCCCUGAAUUUCAGGCAGCUCCGCGACUUUCCAAAAAUAAUGGACUCCAGCGCAAGUCAAAAUUCGUUUUGGCAACACAACUAAAUUACGGGGAUGCCCUACAGCCAACCUACCCGGCGGUUACAUAUGACCUACCCGGGGGUUGCGCUCAGGGCAAUCCGAAGUACCUCGUUUGGUAUUCACAGACUAAAUGGUUGUGGGUUCGGCACACGCUGAGCUUAAGAUAUAGUCGGGCUUUGUAGCGCAAGCACAGGGAGUUCACCGUUCCGUAGGUGAACCUGCGGAAGGAUCAUUA